GAGUUUGAUCGUGGCUCAGGAUGAACGCUGGCGGCGUGCCUAAUACAUGCAAGUCGAACGAACAGAUAAGGAGCUUGCUCCUUUGACGUUAGCGGCGGACGGGUGAGUAACACGUGGGUAACCUACCUAUAAGACUGGAAUAACUCCGGGAAACCGGGGCUAAUGCCGGAUAACAUGUUGAACCGCAUGGUUCUACAGUGAAAGACGGUCUUGCUGUCACUUAUAGAUGGACCCGCGCCGUAUUAGCUAGUUGGUGGGUAACGGCCUACCAAGGCGACGAUACGUAGCCGACCUGAGAGGGUGAUCGGCCACACUGGAACUGAGACACGGUCCAGACUCCUACGGGAGGCAGCAGUAGGGAAUCUUCCGCAAUGGGCGAAAGCCUGACGGAGCAACGCCGCGUGAGUGAUGAGGGUCUUCGGAUCGUAAAGCUCUGUUGUUAGGAAGAACAAAUGUGUAAGUAACUGUGCAUAUCUUGACGGUACCUAACCAGAAAGCCACGGCUAACUACGUGCCAGCAGCCGCCGU
Molecule: ribosomal RNA, 528 nt
Filed under: uncultured microorganism
Description: bacterial SSU rRNA
Rfam family: Bacterial small subunit ribosomal RNA
Source: RNAcentral